This 300-nucleotide unclassified non-coding RNA is filed under the name plant metagenome. RNAcentral describes it as "partial contains 5.8S ribosomal RNA, internal transcribed spacer 2, and large subunit ribosomal RNA". The stretch from base 1 to 105 matches the Rfam family "5.8S ribosomal RNA", at positions 50 to 154 of the family's 154-position model. The record is from RNAcentral.
GAAAUGCGAUAAGUAGUGUGAAUUGCAGACUUUAGUGAAUCAUUGAAUCUUUGAACGCAUAUUGCGCCUUUUGGAAUUCCACUAGGCAUGCCUGUUCGAGCGUCAUAUACUCAUUCAAGCGCUGGCUUGGUGUUGGGUAAUUGUCCUGUGCUCUGUACGGACAUGCCUUAAUAGCUACUGGCAGUUAGCCUGUUCACUUCUAUGCAGCACUUGCAACUUUGAAGCGAGAAUAGGCUGGCGUCCUAGCAAGUAACCUUAUUUUGACCUCGAAUCAGGUAGGAACACCCGCUGAACUUAAGC